CAUUUACCACCUUUUAAGAUGACACGUUUUAUUUAGUUAUAUUUAAAUAAAAAUCACUUGAGUCUAGGAAGAGCCAAAUCUAAAGCCACAUGAUAAAAAUACACAACUAUCCCUUUGAAAGUUAUAUUCGGAGCCCCAGGUAUAAGCACACAAACUGGAAAUCUUUGCUGUCGUCCUUUAUAUUAUUGUCCUAAUGGAGACACAAAUACCCGUGG
Long non-coding RNA from Perognathus longimembris pacificus (Pacific pocket mouse), 215 nucleotides. RefSeq lists it as uncharacterized. The transcript is spliced from 3 exons. The record is from RefSeq and is a predicted model, not a curated record. Lineage: Eukaryota; Metazoa; Chordata; Mammalia; Rodentia; Heteromyidae.